AACGCACGAGACCUGCGGACCUGCGGAGGGAUCAUUAAUGAGAAGCUGCCCCUCGUGGGUAGACCUCCCACCCUCUGUGAACUUACCUUUGUUGCUUUGGCAGGCCCGUCCUCUGGACCGCCGGCUUCGGCUGGCCCGUGCCUGCCAGAGGAUUCCAAACUCUGUCUGUCAGUGUUGUCUGAGUCUAUAUGAAAUCGUUAAAACUUUUAACAACGGAUCUCUAGAUCGGAAGAGCACACG
Molecule: unclassified non-coding RNA, 240 nt
Filed under: soil metagenome
Description: partial contains 5.8S ribosomal RNA, internal transcribed spacer 2, and large subunit ribosomal RNA
Source: RNAcentral